This is a non-coding RNA of Heterocephalus glaber (naked mole-rat), 1477 nucleotides long. The record is from RefSeq and is a predicted model, not a curated record. NCBI's taxonomy places the organism in Eukaryota, Metazoa, Chordata, Mammalia, Rodentia, Bathyergidae.
UCCCGUCGCCCAGCUACGUCAAGGGAAGCGCAGCCUUUUGGGAAAUGCAGUGCCGUGCCGCCCAUACCUUAGCGUUCAGAGGACAAGAAAACUACACUUCCCGAGAUUCUGAGGGGCGGCUGCGCUUUAUCACCUGGAGCGACGGCCUUAAGGGUGCCGGAGAAGGACAAGUGAGUCGUCUUAACUCGCGCAAGACAUGGUUGAGUUAAUUUACCCCUGGAACUCGAACGCGCUUAAGACAAGUGUGGAUUCACAAAAACGUGGAUCAGUCGGAAUCACAACUCUAAAGACACCUUGAUUUGACUCUGAGGUUCUCUCCUGAUUCGGUGUGUGCUCUCAAGAAAAAAUGCCUGUGUUCUCGAGACCAGCUUUCCCGUUUGUGUUAGGCGGGAGUGGGAAGUAGUCGACCUUCGCUCGAGUAGCUGUUGGAAGAGGCAGUACUUCGGCCUGGCCAGUAGAAACCGGCCCUACUCCCAUUUUGAGGUCUGAAGGCCCAGACUGUCCUUAGACCUUUCCUCUACCAGGCCUCCCAGCGGGGGCAUCUGACCCUGAACGGAGUUUGUUUCGCAAGAUUCAAGAACUUGCCAUCGCCUCUCUUGUACAGACCAACUUGUCCAGACUCCAACACUGAUUAGGACUCGUCCACACUCUGAGGCUUUUUACCACACACCAAGACCUUAGAGUCUGUCCCUGGAUUUGCAAACCCUAGGCAGUGGGUGGCAUGACUGGAACUGCUAUGGGAUACUGGAAAUAGUGGUGUCAAUAAACCAGGGGUCACUUGGGAGCAGUUUCCAGGAAGUGUGUGGACACAGAGCCGGCCAGUGGCUGCACUCCUCACUAUACACUCAGAGCCUUGAAUUGUAAUGCACAGAACCAGCCUGGAAGCAGGCUGUCAGCAGUAAAGGAACAACUCUAAUUUACUAGAGUCGCUGUACACCAAGUGUGGUGGAUUGACUAAUGGUCAAUUUUUUACGCCCAGCUGAACUGAAUCAGCAUGGUCUGGGUGUGAAAGAUCAACCUGAACAUUGUUACCAAUAGCCAUAAAAAGAGAACUGGAGGGGAAGAUCUUGGCCUGUUGAUUUUCUAGGAGAAGCUUAACUGUGGAAGGUUUUCCUGAUGAAAACUAGGAUGUUCUCAUUGGAGGAGCUCGGGGCCUCGCUGUUGCUGGGAAUGGCUGCUGUUUUCAUCAGGGGAGCUCUGGUCUUCACCAUGAGCAUCACUUCCUGUCUCCAAUGUGGAUCCCUCAGCUUGGUGGCACACACCCUUCAUCUCACCAGCAUAGAUUUCUGGCUUCCACCACUGGCCUUUGGGCCUUCCAGGUGCAAAUCCUCAAUUUGGACAAGCAUGAAACAUUGCUGUGGUCUCUAGGCCACAGGCUGGGCUCGAGGAGGACAUUGCCUUGGACUCUAGGCCUUUAGCUGGACUUGUGUGGGAAACUGCUGGGAUCUAGGCCCUCAGUUGAAUCCUUUGGGCUUCU